Molecule: long non-coding RNA, 893 nt
Organism: Heterocephalus glaber (naked mole-rat)
Lineage: Eukaryota; Metazoa; Chordata; Mammalia; Rodentia; Bathyergidae
Source: Ensembl
UAGCAUCUCUUUGGAGUGGCACCAAUUUCUGCAUCUUUUUGCCUCUCUGUUCAGAGACUUGAGCCUUUCCAUCUGGUUGAUGCCGUAGACCCCACAGUUCCCUGGUCUUCAGCCUGAAAUGGAUCUCAUGCUGUGCUAGUGCUGCUUUUCUGAACAAAUGCCUCCUGAGGAUUUGUGCACCUGGGAAAUACCUGCCAACGGAUUGCCUUUACACCCUGUAUGAGGAGACUGAGGUACAGAAAGAUAACAUUUACCCAAGGUUGUUCGGGGAGCUCUGGCUCCAGAAGUCUGCAUUUCCCUUCUCUCACCACACUACCUCAUAGAAAAGGGAAACUUAGGAGGAUAAACAGCCAGGAUUUUGUACCUCUAUUCCCAACAUCAAGACCCAAAGGAUCAGAGAAAUUAAAUGAUUAGCCCAGGAUUACAGAGCAGUAAGCAGCACAGCCAGAUCCUGUGCUGCCUGUUCGUCUUCCUGUUUGCUGAAGGCAUCCAGUCUAUGAUCUCUCACAGCUGCCCAUCUCAGAAACCCAUGGAGCCCCAGUCCUUACCUACAGAGAUGAAGAAGCCAGCUGAGCAGCAACAGCUGUGUGCUUGGGGUACUAUUUCAUGAUAAAGGAUGGGUGUGUGUUGGAAUUGCCAAGUCUUUCAGGAGUAAAGUGCUACCAGACAUGAGCCAAACAGCCCGUACCUCCCGGCUGGUUAGCAUCCUCUGACCUCACUUGAAAUCAUGAGCUACAGGCACACUGUCAUAAAAAGAUUGCCCAAUACUCCCAAUAUAAUCGUACAAUGAGGAUGGUAUACCAGGAAAGUUAAAGUUUGUUAAAUUGAUUUAAGCCAAGAGAACAGGUAAGUGAAUGUUAUAUCCAGGGUUAGGAGCUGCGUUUCAUAAGGUG